Molecule: ribosomal RNA, 253 nt
Filed under: uncultured bacterium
Lineage: Bacteria
Description: partial 16S ribosomal RNA
Rfam family: Bacterial small subunit ribosomal RNA
Source: RNAcentral
UACAGGGGGGGCAAGCGUUGUUCGGAAUUACUGGGCGUAAAGGGUUCGUAGGUGGCUUACUAAGUCAGACGUGAAAUCCCUCAGCUUAACUGGGGAACUGCGUCUGAUACUGGAAAGCUUGAGUGCAGGAGAGGAACGCGGAAUUCCAGGUGUAGCGGUGAAAUGCGUAGAUAUCUGGAGGAACACCGGUGGCGAAGGCGGCGUUCUGGACUGCAACUGACACUGAGGAACGAAAGCCAGGGGAGCAAACGGG